UUAAAACAUUACAUAAGAGCUGAUUUUAUUAUUAUUAUAAAUAAAGCUCUUAAAACAGUUUCUGGUCAGCAGUAAGAACUCAAUAAAUGUUAACGGUUAUUAUUAGUCAUGUAACUACCAAGAUAAUCCAUAAACUGUAUUAGUCAUCCUGUUAAGAAGCAAGGCCUGGUUUGUUUCUUCCUUUUAUUAUACAAUUUUACUGCUUCUAAUUUAAACUCUUGCCUCCCUAAGUUCAAUUCAGGAAGAGAGUCAGGAUGAAAGGACUGGAAGGACAGACGAGAGUGCUGAUGGAAACAAAACUACUCAAAUAGUAGGGGGGGGAGAGAGAGAGAGAGAGAGAGAAAGAGAGAGAGAGAGAGAGAGAGACUUUGUCAGCUAAAAAUUAACUAGACUGUCAGCUCCUGCGUCUUUUGCAUCCAUCUCGGAACCUGGAAAAAAAUAUUUGCAGUGGUCCUCAUGUCCGCAGCAGGCCUUGCUCCGAUGGUUUUGCAGAGCAGGAAGUGAAAAUUUCCAAAAGGCGGGAUAAAAGAAGAAACAGAGAUAGAUAAGCUAGCACAGGAACAAGGCGCAGAGCAGGAAAGUUACCAGGACAGAACAGGGAGGGACUGACUGUCGCAGGGCAGGGAGCAGGAGGAGGAAAGAAGCCACUUUUCAGUGAAAGGCAUUUGUAAUUACAAGAAAGCCAGGUUCUUCAGGGCCCUAGAGGAACAGAAAUACAAUUCCCUGGCUUCUGGGGAGAGCACUUAGGGGCUCCUAUAUCCCCAUCUUUUUGAAUUUUCCCUUCUCAAACGCCAGAAUUUGGAAAAAGAUGGGGAGGGUCUUUAAAUUAUUUGGCAUAAACUCCAAAAAAGUGGAGAAACUGUGAACCAGCAACCCUCGACUAGGUUUUGCUGUGAUGGUUGCUGAAAUCACUUGCUCACAGGAUGACAGGAGCUGGGAACCUCAAGGUAGGUGAGGCUGCCAAGAUGCGAGUACCGGACUCGGCUGGGGCGCAGAUGGAGCCCGCCCGGUAGGGGGCGUGCGGGGCCGUGUUUCCUGGGUUCCGGAGCCCGGCCCGGCCCGGCCCGGCCCAGCCCAGCCCAGCCGCGCCGAGCCGAGCCGAGCCGCGCGGCCAGUGUGUGUCCUUGCUCCUCGAGCGGCCUUGAGCAGUGCCCAGCGUUGAGGGUGAGGCUCGUGCUCCGGGUCUCGCGGACGGCCGCCUCGGGCGUCGGGUCCCGGAGAUUGGACAGACACCAGAGCCCGAGGACCGCGGAGUGGCCGGGUGGGGCUGGAGGGCGGCGCCGCGCCUUCUGGGGAGACACGGAGGUAUCAGGACCUGGGAUAUGCUCCUGAUUUUAUACAGACUGCCAUGGCUCCAGAUAUAAAAGACCAAAUAAAAAGGAUUAAGACCCAAACGUUGUUGAAAAAUGUUCAGAUCCUACAAGACACUGACAUGCCAGUUCCUCAGCUUUGAUGGAGAAACCAGCUUUCUCUUCUUGCAGAGAUACUCUUCAUGAAAAGUGGAGCUCCAAGAAGAAUAGACAUGAGGAAAAUAUGUAUUUUUACAAAAGGAAAUGUAUGGUGCAAUUAUAAACUGUAGCAUGAACCCAUAAUUGGAAGUCUACGUCUCACAGUUAUAGUCAGAAAUUCUGAUACAUAUGAAAUAAGUUCUUUCAAAAUGGGAUUCAGGUAUUGUUUAGAAAUGCAUCUACUGAAAAGAAGCAUACCACAAAAAUUUUUGCUGAUUAUGGAUGAGAUCAUGGACAGUUUCAUCCAAAUUAUGAGCUGGAUUUGUCAGAUGUAGAGUCUCAAUCAGGUCACUUGAAAGACCAAAUGAUUUCCUUUUCAUCUGAAGGGUUCAGAGAGGCAGCUUUUGAAAAGGCGCUAUUGAAAUAUUCAAAGUAGCUGUUCUUAGCACAGCUUUGAUUUCUAAAACAACUAGGACUAUAGAACUACAUGAGGGGAGAAAAGAGAAACUGAAGAAUUGUUUGAAAACAUAAAUAUUCUUUACUUAUAUUACCACUCCAUGCUUUGUGAAAAAAAAAUUAUUUUAUGAAGUCAAGAAGUAAAUCAGAAGAAAACAGCAGGGAAAGUCAACACAAACUGGUUUAUCUAAUACUUCCUCAGUGUCCAAUUUGCAAUGCACUGAGUUCCCUGCUUAACUAUGUCUAUAUACUGGGGGCAGGGAGAGGAGUAGGUUAAAAAUAAAUAUGAGUUGCAAGUCUUUCUCCUCGGGCUGCUAAUAUUAAUAUACCUGAAUUUUAUGUUUGUUGUUAUCUUCCUUGUCUCUAUAGUUUUUGCAACUAGUGUAUAUAUGUCUAAACAAUCUAUUGCUUAAAUUUACAUAAUUUUCAACUUUACAUAUGUAGAAUCACGCUGUUUGUUUCCUUCCAUACCUCAGUUUUUUCACUAAAAAUUGUCUUCUGAAAAAACUUGGAGGUAUCAUACUUCCUGAUUUUAAAUUAUAUUGCAAUGUUAUAGUAAACAAAUAAGUAUAGUACUUACACAAAAACAGACACAGUGUAACAGAAUGGAGUGCAGAAAUAAAUUCAAACAUAUACAGUAAACUAAUUUUUGACAGAGACACCAAGAGGAUACAGUGGGAAAAGGAUAGGAUCUUCAAUAAAUAGUGCUGAGAAAAUUGAAUUUCCACACAUAUGCAAAAUUUAUAAAAUAUAAGGCCUAAAACUAUAAAAUUCCUUAAAGAGAACACAAAAAGCUCCUGGACAUUGGCCUUGGAAAUAAUUUUUUUAAUAUCACACCAAAAAAUGAAAAAAAAAAAAAAAGCUCAGGCUACAAAAGCAAAAAUAAAUAAAUGAAACUACAUUGAACUACAAAGAUUUGUACAGCAAAGUAAAUAACCAACAAAAUAAAAUGACAGCCUAUGGAUUGAGAAAAAUAUUUGCAAACCAUGCAUCUGAUAAGGGAAUAAUAUCCGAAAUUAAUAAAGAACUCAUACAACUCAAUAAUAGGAAAUCAAAUAGCCUGAUUUUAAAAUGGGAAAAGAGCACUUGUCGACAUUUCUCCAAAUAAGACAUAAAAGUGGCCAACAGAUAUAUGAAAAGGCACCCAACAUCAUUAAUCGUCAGAAGAAUGCAAAUAAAAACCAUUGAGAUAGCAUCUCACACCCAUUAGGAUGGCUGUUAUCAAAAAAACAAAAGAUAAAUGUUGGUGGAGUUGUGGAGAACAGGGAGCCCUAGUACAUUGUUGGUAGGGUUAUAGAUUGGUACAACCAUUAUGAAAAAUAAUAUUGAGAUGUCUAAAGAAAUUUAAAUGAGAACCAUCAUGAUCUGACCCAGCAAUCCUUCUUCUGAGCAUAGACCCAAAGUAAAUGAAAUAAUCACCUCGUAAAGGCAUCCACACUCCCAUGUUCAUUGCAGUACUAUUCUCAAUAGCCAAGAUGUGAAAAGAGCCUAGAUGUCUGUUAAUGGACAAAUGGAUAAACUGUGAUAUACAUAUACAUAUACAUAUACAUAUACGUAUAGUUCUCUUACACUGAAUGUAUAUUAUUCAAUAUUGAAAAAGAAGAUUCUGCCAUUUGCCACACAUAGUGAACCUGGAGGAUGUUAUACUAAGGGAAAUAAGCCAGAUGCAGAAAGAAAAAUAUUGCGUUAUCUUGCUUAUUUGUGAAAUCUAAAAGAAAAAGUGAAGUAUACAGAGAUAGAGAAUAAAACUGUUGUUAUGGGCAGGGGAUAGAGAGAUGAAGGUCAAAUAUGUGAACUGAAUGAGACUAGAGAUCUGAGGUACAUCAUGAAGAAUAUAGGCAAUAAAAUUGCACUGUAUUUGGGAAACCUGCUGAGUAGAUUUUAGUUACUGUUGCCACAGAAACAAAGAAGAAAUAGGUACCUAUGUGAGAUUAUGGAUAUGUUAAUUUGCUUCACUAUAUGUAACUAUAUGUAUCCCAUCACAUCGUGUUGGAUACUUUAAAUAUAUGCAAUAAAAAUGUAUAUUAAAAAAUUAUCUUUUGGGAUUUGUUCAUGUUGAGGCACGUAGGAGUAAUUCAUUUUUCAUCACCAAAGAGUAUUCCAUUUUAUGAAUAUGCUAUAAUUUACAGCAUAAUUUAUUUUUGCUUUGGGUGAAUAUUGAAAUUUUUAUAGACUUUUAUUUAUUUGUGUGUCUGCUUGGCUCUUACAAACAUGCCUGCCUUGAACAUUCUUGUAUAUCUCCUGGUAUUCAUAUGUAAAAGUUUAUCUAGGUUUAUCUAUCUAGAAGUAGAAUUGUUGCGUUAUUGGACAUGGGCACCUUUAACUUUAUUUACUGGAUAAUGCCAACUCGUUUUCCAGAGUACUAAUUUAUACAGUUAUCCUUCAGAAUCUGUGGAUGAUUUGUUCCAGGACUUCCUAUAGAUAUCAAAAUCCACAGAUACUAAAGUCUCUUAUGUAGAAAUGGCAUAGUAUUUGCAUAUAACCUAUGCAUACCCUUCCAUAUACUUUAAUCUUUAGGUUACUUAAUAUACCCAAUAUGAUGUAAGUGCUAUGUAAAUGGUUGUUAUGCUGUAUUGUUUAAGAAAUAAUGAUAAGGAAAAAAGUUGGUACUUGUUCAGUACAAAUGCAAGCACCCUCUUCUUUCCAAAUACUUUCUAUCCAUGGUUGGUUGAAUCCACGAAUAUACAACCCAUGGAUAUGGAGGGCCAACUGUACUCAUACUUGCCUUCUGUUAUUGCUUGAGAAUCUGUCCAACACUUGUUACUGAUCCAACUUUGUAAUUAUUGCUGCUGUGAUUGGUACAAGUAGUAUUUUAUGUUAUUUUAAUUUGCAUUCCCCAUAUGUUUGUUGCCAGUCCCACUGUCUUUCUGGAAAAUGCCCAUUUGUGUCUUUUGCCCAUUUUUUUCUAUUAGGUUGUCUGCCUUUUUUUUCAGUGAUUUUGAGUUUUAAAAAUUAUCUUUGAGUUCCAUAUAUUUUGGAGACUAAUCCUUUGCUAGGUAUAUAUGUCACAAAUUGGGGUUUAUUGAUAAAUAGAAUUCUUCAUUUUAAUGUAGUUCAAUGUAUUAACCUUUUUCUUUAUGAUUUGUUUUAGAUGUCUUGUUAAAGAAAUUCCUACUUAUUAUGAGGUAAUUUAUUCGCCUCUAUUUCCUUCUAAAAGUUUUAAAGUUUUGCCUUUUACAUGUAAGUCCUUUGUCCAACCUGAAACUCGAUAAUGCAUUUCCAAUUAAUUUUUAAAAUUUUCUCCAUAAUUGCCUUGCAUAUUGAGAUAAUUGUAUGUUUUCUUUCUUCCUAGUUUGUUAAGGUAGUAUUAGAGUAAUAAACUUGAGAACGUUUAAUUAACCUGCAUUCCUGAAACAAAUUCAACUUGAGCCUGAUGUACACUGUGUAGUUUAUUUUGUGAAUAUUUCCUUGGUGACUUUCAUAUAUAUUCAUAAAGGAGAUUAAUCUGUAAUUUUGCUUGGUUUUGAUCUCACAGUUAUUUUAGAUCAAGAAAAUCUUUUAAUGCUUUUAUCCUUAAAGUGUAUUUUGUUAAUAUCAGCAUUACCUAAAUUUUAUUAGUGUGUAUGUAUAUGUGUGUGUGUGUGUGUAUAUAUAUCUACACAUAUUUGUUUGUGUAGUCAUUAAGCUGUACACUUAGUAUUUCUGCAUAUUGCCAUAUGUAAAUGGUACCUAAUAAAGUACUAUUGUUGUUUUUAAAAAGAAUGUAAUAAGCAACCAAGAAAACAUGGACUAUUCAGCUACCACCAUCAACUUUCAGUAAUGGAGAAUGGCAGGUGAAACAAAACAAAGAUGCAUAAACUAAAGCAAAAUUCCAAAAUUCUUUCAUUUUGGAAACAAAAAUCUUUCAUUAAAAAAUUUCUUUGACAUAAGUCUGUUGGUAGAAAUCUCAGUUUUUGUCUUCAAAAAAUUUGUUUCUGAGAAACUAGAAGCUUACCUGCCAAGAUCAGGAACAGG
This 5858-nucleotide long non-coding RNA is filed under the name Papio anubis (olive baboon). Its description in RNAcentral is "lncRNA (ENSPANG00000047940.1)". The record is from RNAcentral. Lineage: Eukaryota; Metazoa; Chordata; Mammalia; Primates; Cercopithecidae.